This is a long non-coding RNA of Diachasma alloeum, 1271 nucleotides long. RefSeq lists it as uncharacterized. The record is from RefSeq and is a predicted model, not a curated record. The transcript is spliced from 2 exons. Lineage: Eukaryota; Metazoa; Arthropoda; Insecta; Hymenoptera; Braconidae.
GCAAGGCCGGCACCUCUGGAAAAUGUAAACACAUUUGUGCCGUUGUAAUCUAUAUCAAUUCUGAUGAUAGUGCAAUAUCAAAAACAAGUUUCUUGCAACAAUGGGGCCAACCGACUUCGAAGCAAAUGUCGGAAUACGAUAAAGGUGCAUGAAUAAGUACUCUUUACAAUGUUCCAGCUUUGGGUAAAAACGCCGCAGCGAUAGCACCGAUCAGAUUGUUUUCCUCAAUUCUGGAAAUUCUUCCUCAAACACCCCUCUACACUCAUAUGAAGUUGAAAGAACGGUAUACAGAAGAAACUGUCGCUGCUGAAACACUUAUUUCGAUGGACCAAAUCCUGAAGACAGAGCAAUUGGUCUCCGAAGCUUCAACGGUUGUUAGAGAAAUUUCAAGGAAACAACCCAUGGGUGUAGUGUAUUCACAGCCUAAUGUUGUUGAUUAGAAAGUUUGGAACUUUUUCAAGGAAAAUGUGAUGUGUGAUGAGGAUAAAGUGCUCAAGAUUUGCAUUGAAACUAUUCAGUAAUCACUCGAUAAAAAGUGGUUCAAACGACGACGUUUUCGUAUCACUGCCAGUACAAAUCAUAGAGCGAAAGCAAAAUCUAAGGACGUUGAUAAAUUGGUCGAUGAACGAUUGACCAAAAAAACGAUAGAAACUUCUGCGAUGACAUAUGGGAAAAAGACUGAAGAAGUUGCGCUGCGACAAUACCGAAAAAGAUCAUCUCGAUGUCGGAAGUCACGUGAUCCGAGUGGGCUUGAUCAUCUACCUUCUCUAGCCCUGGUUAGCGUGUUCACCUGAUGGAGUCGUUGCUACUGAUAAUGGCUGUGAUGAAAAAUUAUUAGAAAUAAAGUGCCCAAGCCCAUGUAAAGGAGAUGAAAAUGGAAUACAGUUAAGAGUCCAAUCAAAUAUACACACAUGUACAAAUUGAAAUGUACGUGACAAAUAUACGUGUUUGUGAUCUUUAUGUAUACUCUCCCUGCGGGAGAGUACAUUGGUGAAAAUAGCCAGAAAUUCGAUUUUUUUAAGGGAAGCAGUGGUAAGGCUUGAAACUUUUUAUUAUAACUACUAUUUACCAAAGUUGGCUGAAGUUGCUCAAUAUUCUACUAGAGGUGGAUAAUUCCUAUAUUAUUCUGUAAAUCUUAAUAUAUUUGUAAACUUUUGACAUAUUAAGGGAGAUCAGGGUAGCGUAAAAAGUAUGAGUCAGACAUUUAAAGUGUUAAAUAUGUGAAGAGUCAGUGUCGUCGAAAUCACAAAAUAUACUAUCUCAAUGAAGUA